UACGAAAGGUGCAAGCGUUACUCGGAAUCACUGGGCGUAAAGCGCACGUAGGCGGACUCGCAGGUCAAUUGUGAAAUACCUGGGCUCAACCCGGGAACUGCAGUUGAAACCGCUUGUCUUGAAUACCUGAGAGGGUGGGGGAAUACCUGGUGGAGAAGUGAAAUUCGUAGAGAUCGGGUGGAACACCGGAGGCGAAGGCGCCUGCCUGGCAGUGUAUUGACGCUGAGGUGCGAAAGUGCGGGGAGCAAACAGG
Molecule: ribosomal RNA, 253 nt
Filed under: uncultured bacterium
Lineage: Bacteria
Description: partial 16S ribosomal RNA
Rfam family: Bacterial small subunit ribosomal RNA
Source: RNAcentral